This is a non-coding RNA of Bacteroides sp. CAG:770, 85 nucleotides long. Lineage: Bacteria; Pseudomonadati; Bacteroidota; Bacteroidia; Bacteroidales; Bacteroidaceae. The record is from Rfam.
GGAGGAAUACUCAAGUGGUUCAAGAGGCCGGUUCGCUAAACCGGUAGGCCGUAAAGGUGCGUGGGUUCGAAUCCCACUUCCUCCG